CCUACGGGGGGCUGCAGUGAGGAAUAUUGGUCAAUGGUCGCAAGACUGAACCAGCCAUGCCGCGUGCAGGAUGACGGUCCUAUGGAUUGUAAACUGCUUUUGUACGGGAAGAAACACCUCUACGUGUAGGGGCUUGACGGUACCGUAAGAAUAAGGAUCGGCUAACUCCGUGCCAGCAGCCGCGGUAAUACGGAGGAUCCAAGCGUUAUCCGGAAUCAUUGGGUUUAAAGGGUCCGUAGGCGGCCCUGUCAGUCAGCGGUGAAAUCUCCCAGCUC
Molecule: ribosomal RNA, 275 nt
Filed under: uncultured Flavobacterium sp.
Lineage: Bacteria; Pseudomonadati; Bacteroidota; Flavobacteriia; Flavobacteriales; Flavobacteriaceae
Description: partial 16S ribosomal RNA
Rfam family: Bacterial small subunit ribosomal RNA
Source: RNAcentral